RNAcentral lists this ribosomal RNA (511 nucleotides) under uncultured Fusobacterium sp. RNAcentral's name for it is "bacterial SSU rRNA". It matches the Rfam family "Bacterial small subunit ribosomal RNA", at positions 505 to 1025 of the family's 1533-position model. Lineage: Bacteria; Fusobacteriati; Fusobacteriota; Fusobacteriia; Fusobacteriales; Fusobacteriaceae. The record is from RNAcentral.
GUGCCAGCCGCCGCGGUAAUACGUAUGUCGCAAGCGUUAUCCGGAUUUAUUGGGCGUAAAGCGCGUCUAGGUGGUUAUAAGUCUGAUGUGAAAAUGCGGGGCUCAACUCCGUAUUGCAUUGGAAACUGGUAGACUAGAGUACUGGAGAGGUAGCGGAAUUACAAGUGUAGAGGUGAAAUUCGUAGAUAUUUGUAGGAAUGCCGAUGGGGAAGCCAGCCUACUGGACAGAUACUGACGCUGAAGCGCGAAAGCAUGGGGAGCAAACAGGAUUAGAUACCCUGGUAGUCCAUGCCGUAAACGAUGAUUACUAGGUGUUGGGGUCGAACCUCAGCGCCCAAGCUAACGCGAUAAGUAAUCCGCCUGGGAGUACGUACGCAAGUAUGAAACUCAAAGGAAUUGACGGGACCCGCACAAGCGGUGGAGCAUGUGGUUAAUUCGACGCAACGCGAGGAACCUUACCAGCGUUUGACAUCCUAAUAAGAUUUUAGAGAUAAGAUUGUGCCACUUCGGU